RNAcentral lists this unclassified non-coding RNA (893 nucleotides) under Rhagoletis pomonella (apple maggot). Its description in RNAcentral is "partial intergenic spacer". Lineage: Eukaryota; Metazoa; Arthropoda; Insecta; Diptera; Tephritidae. The record is from RNAcentral.
UUGCCCUAAUAACUCGUACAAUUUUUGAUUUUUCAUACAAGUAUAAAAUAUAUGAACUCAUAUAAGUUGCAAUUUUAUACAUUUUUACUUCCGUGAGGUGUGUUUGGCGCAAAACAUUUGUAUAUUUGCACAUUUUUGGAGAAUCGGAACUUGUAUGGAAAUCUUUUAACUAAGUUAGGUUAACUUAGUACUUGUAUGGGAAUCUUAGUUAAUGCUAAGUUAGGUCAACUUAGUGUUACUACUUGUAUUAAAAAUUAUACAUUUACUAACUAAUUCAUGUAUGUAAAGUGAGUUAAUAAAUUCUGUUAGUACCUGUAUGAAAUAUUAUUAUUUCUUAUACGAGUUCACAAAAUUGAUACUUGUAUGAGUUAAGUAUAAGUUAUACGAGUUGAAUAAAUUAGUACUUGUAUGAAUGAUAUAUGAACUUGUAUGAGUUAGUAAAUUUAAUACUUGUGAGAAAACUUAUGAUCUCUUCUAUAAUAAGAGGUAUGAAAAUUUGUAACUUGUACUAGAAGUUAAUAAAAUUUGUACUUGUAUCGAAAACUUGUACGAGUUACUGAACUUAUUACUUGUAUGAAAGUUAAUGAACUUAUAUGAGUUGAUAAAUUUUAUACUUGUAUGAAAAAAUUUCCACUUAUUUUUAUAUUAGUUGUGAUAAUAAAAUUUGAAUACCUGUAUGAGAUUUUAAUAUUGUAUGAGAAUUUAAUACUCUUACGAAAAUUUAGAACUUGUAUGAGUUUAUAAUAUUAGUACUUGUAUGAAAUAUUUAAACUUGUAUGAGUUGAUAGAUUUAAUACAUGUAUGAAAAAUUUUAAAUGAAUUUAUAGUACAUAUUUUUUUAUGUAUUUCCAUGCAAAGUUUUUGUUUUAAUUGUGUUUUUAAUCCUGGUCUUA